GACGAACGCUGGCGGCGUGCUUAACACAUGCAAGUCGAACGGAAAGACCCUGCUUUUGUGGGGUGCUCGAGUGGCGAACGGGUGAGUAACACGUGAGUAACCUGCCCUUGACUUUGGGAUAACUUCAGGAAACUGGGGCUAAUACCGGAUAGGAGCUCCUGCUGCAUGGUGGGGGUUGGAAAGUUUCGGCGGUUGGGGAUGGACUCGCGGCUUAUCAGCUUGUUGGUGGGGUAGUGGCUUACCAAGGCUUUGACGGGUAGCCGGCCUGAGAGGGUGACCGGCAACAUUGGGACUGAGAUAGGGCCCAGCCUCCGAGGGGGGGCAGAGGGGGGGAAUAUUGAACAAGGGGGGGAGGCCUGAGGCAGCAACGCCGGGGGCGGGGGGACGGCUUUGGGGUUGUAAACCGCUUUCGCCGGUGACGAAGGGGGAGUGACGGUAGGGGGAAAAGAAGCCCCGGCUAACUACGUG
This 468-nucleotide ribosomal RNA is filed under the name uncultured bacterium. Its description in RNAcentral is "partial 16S ribosomal RNA". It matches the Rfam family "Bacterial small subunit ribosomal RNA", at positions 28 to 507 of the family's 1533-position model. The record is from RNAcentral.